Molecule: long non-coding RNA, 454 nt
Organism: Ornithodoros turicata
Lineage: Eukaryota; Metazoa; Arthropoda; Arachnida; Ixodida; Argasidae
Exons: 3
Source: RefSeq, a predicted model, not a curated record
UCGUGUUUGCUCGCUGUCGUUGUUCGCCGUUUCUGUGUAAUCAAACGUCUGCCUUAAUCGUGAUUUUCAAGUGCCACCUCCGUGUUGGCUCGACCAGAAUGUCUCACGCAAUUCCAACAUGUUAUACGAUUGUGAAGUUUCCGAAUGAGGAGAAUCAAGUGGCAGUCGUGCCAUCCUCUUGGGUAGUUGGAACAUCUUGCUACUGGCCUCCAGAAAAGGAAGAAAGGAAAAUUGGCCUUUAUGUUCGAAAAAACAAGGUCCCCAGUUUGGACUGGCAGUUCCUCGAUUGUACCUCACUGGAGACUUAUGAAACUUACGAAGAAGCGCGAGAAAUGCUGCCGCUUGCAGCAAGCACUUCAGACUUGAAUGCUGACAGAGAGUAUGGACGAGGAAAAAGGAAAAGAGUAAGGAGGGUGUACUCUGACGAAGAAGAUGAUUGUUCUCCACCUGUUAC